UGAGUCGUAGACUAAUUGGCAAGUCACCUAGAUUUGAGCUAGGAGUAUAUAUGUUCAAAUCAUAUCGACUCAG
Molecule: non-coding RNA, 73 nt
Organism: Clavispora lusitaniae ATCC 42720
Lineage: Eukaryota; Fungi; Ascomycota; Pichiomycetes; Serinales; Metschnikowiaceae
Source: the annotation of a RefSeq genome assembly